This is a non-coding RNA of Aethalodelphis obliquidens (Pacific white-sided dolphin), 72 nucleotides long. The record is from the annotation of a RefSeq genome assembly. NCBI's taxonomy places the organism in Eukaryota, Metazoa, Chordata, Mammalia, Artiodactyla, Delphinidae.
UCCCUGAAGGUCUAGUGGUUAGGACUCUGCACUGUCACUGCAGGGGCCCUGGUUCAGUCCCUGGUCGGGGAA